AGUGGCGCACGUGUGAGUAACACGUGGGUAAUCUGCCUUUAAGUCUGGGAUAACUUGCCGAAAGGCGGGCUAAUACCGGAUAAGCACACAGAGUCGCUUAGGGCUCAGUGAGAAAAGGAUGCCUCUACCUGUAAGCAUUCUCUUAAAGAGGAGCCCGCGUCCCAUUAGCUAGUUGGUAGGGUAAUGGCCUACCAAGGCGACGAUGGGUAGCUGGUCUGAGAGGAUGAUCAGUCACACUGGAACUGAAACACGGUCCAGACUCCUACGGGAGGCAGCAGUAGGGAAUAUUGCGCAAUGGGGGAAACCCUGACGCAGCAACGCCGCGUGGGUGAGGAAGGCCUUCGGGUUGUAAAGCCCUGUCAGGUGGGAAAAAACUAUUUGGGUCCAAUAGGCCUAGAUAUUGAUGGUACCACCGGAGGAAGCACCGGCUAACUUCGUGCCAGCAGCCGCGGUAAUACGAAGGGUGCAAGCGUUGUUCGGGAUCAUUGGGCGUAAAGGGCGUGCAGGCGGUAUUGAAAGUCAGGUGUGAAAGCCCGGGGCUCAACCCCGGAGGGUCGCCUGAAACUUCAGUACUUGAGUCUUGGAGAGGGUAGUGGAAUUCCACGUGUAGAGGUGAAAUUCGUAGAGAUGUGGAGGAACACCAGUGGCGAAGGCGGCUACCUGGCCAAUGACUGACGCUGAGACGCGAAAGCGUGGGGAG
This 700-nucleotide ribosomal RNA is filed under the name uncultured bacterium. Its description in RNAcentral is "bacterial SSU rRNA". It matches the Rfam family "Bacterial small subunit ribosomal RNA", at positions 94 to 768 of the family's 1533-position model. The record is from RNAcentral.